Molecule: transfer RNA, 72 nt
Filed under: Bos taurus (domestic cattle)
Lineage: Eukaryota; Metazoa; Chordata; Mammalia; Artiodactyla; Bovidae
Also listed under: 1 other name
Rfam family: tRNA
About the family: Transfer RNA (tRNA) molecules are approximately 80 nucleotides in length. Their secondary structure includes four short double-helical elements and three loops (D, anti-codon, and T loops).
Source: Rfam by way of RNAcentral
UCCCUGGUGGCUUAGAUGGUAAAGCGUCUGCCUACAACGUGGGAGACCCAGGUUCAAUUUCUGGGCCGGGAA